AGAGUUUGAUCCUGGCUCAGAACAAACGCUGGCGGCGUGCCUAACACAUGCAAGUCGUACGAGAAAGUCCGCUUCGGUGGAUGAGUAAAGUGGCGCACGGGUGAGUAGCGCGUGGAUAAUCUACCCUUUAGUCUGGAAUAACUUAUCGAAAGGUGAACUAAUACCGGAUAAUAUCCCGAUUUCUUCGGCGAUCGGGAUCAAAGAAGGCCUCUGCUUGCAAGCUUUCACUGAAGGAUGAGUCCGCGUACCAUUAGCUAGUUGGCAGGGUAAUGGCCUACCAAGGUUAUGAUGGUUAGCUGGUCUGAGAGGAUGAUCAGCCACACUGGAACUGAAACACGGUCCAGACUCCUACGGGAGGCAGCAGUGAGGAAUAUUGCGCAAUGGGGGCAACCCUGACGCAGCAACGCCGCGUGAGUGAGGAAGGUUUUCGGAUUGUAAAGCUCUGUCGAGCGGAAAGAAGUGCAUGGUGGUUAAUAUCCAUCAUGCUUGACGGUACCGCUAAAGGAAGCACCGGCUAACUCCGUGCCAGCAGCCGCGGUAAUAC
RNAcentral lists this ribosomal RNA (544 nucleotides) under uncultured Smithella sp. RNAcentral describes it as "bacterial SSU rRNA". It matches the Rfam family "Bacterial small subunit ribosomal RNA", at positions 8 to 526 of the family's 1533-position model. Lineage: Bacteria; Pseudomonadati; Thermodesulfobacteriota; Syntrophia; Syntrophales; Smithellaceae. The record is from RNAcentral.